RNAcentral lists this ribosomal RNA (477 nucleotides) under Triticum aestivum (bread wheat). RNAcentral's name for it is "partial small subunit ribosomal RNA". Lineage: Eukaryota; Viridiplantae; Streptophyta; Magnoliopsida; Poales; Poaceae. The record is from RNAcentral.
AUGGAUGAGGUCACAAGGGAUAUACAAGGAGAUAUCCCAUGGUGUAUGCUCUUUGCGGAUGAUGUGGUGCUAGUUGACGAUAGUCGGACGGGGGUAAAUAGGAAGUUAGAGUUAUGGAGACAAACCUUGGAAUCGAAAGGGUUUAGGCUUAGUAGAACUAAAACCGAGUACAUGAUGUGCGGUUUCAGUACUACUAGGUGUGAGGAGGAGGAGGUUAGCCUUGAUGGCCAGGUGGUACCUCGGAAGGAAACCUUUCGGUAUUUGGGGUCAAUGUUGCAGGAGGAUGGGGGUAUUGAUGAAGAUGUGAACCAUCAAAUCAAAACCGGAUGGAUGAAGUGGCGCCAAGCUUCUGGCAUUCUCUGUGACAAGAGAAUGCCACAAAAGUUAAAAGGCAAGUUCUACAGGACGGCGGUUCGACCCGCAAUGUUGUAUGGCGCGGAGUGUUGGCCGACUAAAAGGCGACAUCUCAACAGUUAG